RNAcentral lists this ribosomal RNA (414 nucleotides) under uncultured bacterium. RNAcentral describes it as "partial 16S ribosomal RNA". It matches the Rfam family "Bacterial small subunit ribosomal RNA", at positions 355 to 785 of the family's 1533-position model. The record is from RNAcentral.
UGGGGAAUAUUGCACAAUGGGCGAAAGCCUGAUGCAGCGACGCCGCGUGAGGGAUGACGGCCUUCGGGUUGNAAACCUCUUUCAGCAGGAAGAGCGAAAGUGACGUACCUGCAGAAGAAGCGCCGGCUAACUACGUGCCAGCAGCCGCGGUAAUACGUAGGGCGCAAGCGUUGUCCGGAAUUAUUGGGCGUAAAGAGCUCGUAGGCGGUUAGUCGCGUCUGCUGUGAAAACUCGAGGCUCAACCUCGGGCUUGCAGUGGGUACGGGCUGACUAGAGUGCGGUAGGGGUGACUGGAAUUCCUGGUGUAGCGGUGGAAUGCGCAGAUAUCAGGAGGAACACGAUGGCGAAGGCAGGUCACUGGGCCGCAACUGACGCUGAGGAGCGAAAGCAUGGGGAGCGAACAGGAUUAGAUAG